UACGUAGGGACCAAGCGUUGUUCGGAUUUACUGGGCGUAAAGGGCGCGUAGGCGGCUUAACAAGUCACUUGUGAAAUCUCCGGGCUUAACUCGGAACGGCCAAGUGAAACUGUCAAGCUAGAGUGCAGAAGGGGCAAUCGGAAUUCUUGGUGUAGCGGUGAAAUGACGGUAGAUAUCGAGAGGAACACCUGCGGCGAAGGCGGGUUGCUGGGCUGAUACUGACGCUGAGGCGCGAAAGCUAGGGGGAGCGAACGGG
RNAcentral lists this ribosomal RNA (256 nucleotides) under uncultured bacterium. RNAcentral's name for it is "partial 16S ribosomal RNA". It matches the Rfam family "Bacterial small subunit ribosomal RNA", at positions 524 to 776 of the family's 1533-position model. The record is from RNAcentral.